This 491-nucleotide ribosomal RNA is filed under the name uncultured bacterium. RNAcentral describes it as "bacterial SSU rRNA". It matches the Rfam family "Bacterial small subunit ribosomal RNA", at positions 43 to 507 of the family's 1533-position model. The record is from RNAcentral.
CAGGCCUAACACAUGCAAGUCUAACGAGAAGUUCCUUCGGGAGCUGUAAAAGUGGCGCACGGGUGAGUAACACGUGAGUAACCUACCCUGGAAACCGGGAUAACCUUGCGAAAGCGAAGCUAAUACCGGAUAAUAUCUUUGAUUCACAAGAGUUGAAGAUCAAAGGUGACCUCUUAACAAUGUUGCUGUUUUUGGAUGGACUCGCGGCCCAUUAGCUUGUUGGUAGGGUAAUGGCCUACCAAGGCGACGAUGGGUAGCCGGCCUGAGAGGGUGAACGGCCACACUGGAACUGAGACACGGUCCAGACUCCUACGGGAGGCAGCAGUGGGGAAUAUUGCGCAAGUCGGGGAAACCCUGACGCAGCGACGCCGCGUGAGCGAUGAAGGCCUUCGGGUUGUAAAGCUCUGUCAGAUGGGAAAGAAACGCAUGAAUCUCAAGUUAGGGUUCAUGCCUGACGGUACCAUCAGAGGAACGCCCCGGCUAACUCCGUG